RNAcentral lists this ribosomal RNA (370 nucleotides) under uncultured bacterium. Its description in RNAcentral is "bacterial SSU rRNA". It matches the Rfam family "Bacterial small subunit ribosomal RNA", at positions 30 to 395 of the family's 1533-position model. The record is from RNAcentral.
AUUGAACGCUGGCGGCAGGCCUAACACAUGCAAGUCGAGCGGUAGCACAAGAGAGCUUGCUCUCUGGGUGACGAGCGGCGGACGGGUGAGUAAUGUCUGGGAAACUGCCUGAUGGAGGGGGAUAACUACUGGAAACGGUAGCUAAUACCGCAUAACGUCUUCGGACCAAAGUGGGGGACCUUCGGGCCUCACGCCAUCAGAUGUGCCCAGAUGGGANAGCUAGUAGGUGGGGUAAUGGCUCACCUAGGCGACGAUCCCUAGCUGGUCUGAGAGGAUGACCAGCCACACUGGAACUGAGACACGGUCCAGACUCCUACGGGAGGCAGCAGUGGGGAAUAUUGCACAAUGGGCGCAAGCCUGAUGCAGCCAU